UAAAAAUAUAAGCUAAAUAAGCUAGAGAGCUCAUAACUCUUUGAUAGGCGUGCCUUGUUUUU
Molecule: transfer RNA, 62 nt
Filed under: Phyllodiaptomus tunguidus
Lineage: Eukaryota; Metazoa; Arthropoda; Copepoda; Calanoida; Diaptomidae
Description: tRNA-Tyr
Source: RNAcentral